RNAcentral lists this ribosomal RNA (953 nucleotides) under Lactifluus sp. RNAcentral describes it as "partial large subunit ribosomal RNA". It matches the Rfam family "Eukaryotic large subunit ribosomal RNA", at positions 1 to 969 of the family's 3401-position model. The record is from RNAcentral. Lineage: Eukaryota; Fungi; Basidiomycota; Agaricomycetes; Russulales; Russulaceae.
GGGUUUAUUUUCUCACAUACGGAGGAAAGAACCUAACAAGGAUUCCCCUAGUACCUGCGAGUGAAGCGGGAAAAGCUCAAAUUUAAAAUCUAAUGGUCUUUGGCCAUUCGAGUUGUAAUUUAGAGAAGCGUCUUCCGCGCCAGACCAUGUACAAGUCUCCUGGAACGGAGCGUCAUAGAGGGUGAGAAUCCCGUCUUUGACAUGGACCCUCGGUGCUUCUGUGAUGCGCUCUCAAAGAGUCGAGUUGUUUGGGAAUGCAGCUCAAAAUGGGUGGUGAACUCCAUCUAAGGCUAAAUAUUGGCGAGAGACCGAUAGCGAACAAGUACCGUGAGGGAAAGAUGAAAAGCACUUUGGAAAGAGAGUGAAACAGUACGUGAAAUUGUUGAAAGGGAAACACUUGAAGUCAGUCGCGUCGAUCGAGACUCAGCCUUGCCUCGGCUUGGCGUACUUCUCGACUUGACGGGCCAGCAUCAAUUUCGUCCCUCGGAUAAUGGCAAGUGAAAGGUGGCACCUUUUUAAGGUGUGUUAUAGUCUCUUGUCGCAUGCGAGGGGUGGGAUUGAGGAACUCAGCACGCACCUCACGGUGUCGGGGCUUCGGCCCACGUUACGUGCUCAGGAUGCCGGCGUAAUGGCUUUAAAUGACCCGUCUUGAAACACGGACCAAGGAGUCUAACAUGCCUGCGAGUGUUCGGGUGGAAAACCCGUGUGCGUAAUGAAAGUAAAAGUUGGGACCUCUGUCGUGGAGGGCACCGACGCCCGGACCAGACCUUCUGUGACGGAUCUGCGGUAGAGCAUGCAUGUUGGGACCCGAAAGAUGGUGAACUAUGCCUGAAUAGGGUGAAGCCAGAGGAAACUCUGGUGGAGGCUCGUAGCGAUUCUGACGUGCAAAUCGAUCGUCAAAUUUGGGUAUAGGGGCGAAAGAUAAUCGAACAUCUAGAGCUGCCGCGAAGAUU